UACGUAGGGUGCAGGCGUUAAUCGGAAUUACUGGGCGUAAAGCGUGCGCAGGCGGUUUCUUAAGUCAGAUGUGAAAGCCCCGGGCUUAACCUGGGAACUGCGUUUGAAACUGGGAGACUUGAGUGUGGCAGAGGGGGGUGGAAUUCCACGUGUAGCAGUGAAAUGCGUAGAUAUGCGGAGGAACCCCGAUGGCGAAGGCAGUCCCCUGGGCCUGUACUGACGCUCAUGCACGAAAUCGUGGGGAGCAAACAGG
Molecule: ribosomal RNA, 253 nt
Filed under: uncultured bacterium
Lineage: Bacteria
Description: partial 16S ribosomal RNA
Rfam family: Bacterial small subunit ribosomal RNA
Source: RNAcentral